GCCAGGGCUUUCUGCAGCUGCCCCACGCGGCUCUGGGCCCGGGCACACCUGCACUCUGCCUCGCUCAGCCGGCUGCUCAGGGUCGCCAUCUGGACACGGGAGUCAUCCUGGGCAGAAGGACUGAGCCCAGCCUGGCAUCUCUGCCACCUGCUGUGAGGGCUGUGCCGUCCAGCCCAGCUGCCCCACAGGGGCCUUUCUAGAGCCCCAGCCAGGCCCUUGGCCUCCCUCUGCUCCUCAGCUCUGCACCACCUCCUGGAGGCCACCUGUGACCUAUCUUGCCUGCUGGAUGGGAACUCCCUGUGGGCAGGGACAGAUGGUGGCCCGCAGCUCGCUGUUAAAAAGCAACAGUACGUCCUUCUCGCGGGCCUCGUCGCUCAGCGCCCGGCGGGCCUCCUGGGCCUCCUUGUGCAGCCCCUCCUGGCUCUCCUCGACGCCCUGCAGCUGCUGGCGCAGUGCAGCCAGUCCCUCCUGGGCCACGGUCAGCUGUGCUCGCAGCCUCUCGGCCUGGGGAGGAGCAUUCAGCUCUAGAGGCCAGCUGGGGACUGCUGCUCCAGGGAUAUAGCCACAGGGCCCUGUGGCCUCUGACGUGGUGUGGCAGGCACAGGUGCCCUGCCCAACUUGGUCCCCAUGCGCUUUGCUCACCCCAUGGAGCCACCAAUCCCUACUGCUGCAGAGGCUGCAGGGCGGCUUCCACGGGCUGAGGCAGGGCCAGCCUAAGAGCCAAGAAGACCCCACCUUGAGCCCCUGGGCCCGGCCCCACCCUACGGCCUCCCUGGACCCCCAGGACGCUGACCACUGCCGCUAGGUCCCGGAGGCUCUUGCAUAGGGCCGUGGUCUCCCUCUGAUGGGCCGUGAUGGCGUCCUCAAACUGGGCCUGGAGGGCCUUCAGCUCCUCAGUCGUGGCACUGAUGGUGGCCUGCGGGGAGAAGGGAGCCCACAGUGGCACCAGGGAGCUGGGCCCAGCAGUGGAGGGUGAGGCUGCUGGGAUGAGGAGACGUCCACGGCCCCUGCCGGCUGUGAUGUCGCCCUCUCCCACUGCGCAGUGCCCUGGGGAUGGGGCGUAAGCCCUCCACCCCAGCUCCGAGUCACCGAGCAUCCCCCAAGGCCCUGUUGCCUGGACGCCCCGGCCCCCCAGCAGGCGGCCUGCACAUGCCUCUGUGCAGUCAGUGAGAAGGGCUCCCGUUCAGAAUGGGCAGAGAAGGGGCCUGUCUCCUGCACCUGGCACCAUGGCCUGUGUUCUGUUCACUGCACACUGAACCGUACAUUCAAUGCCAGUCAGGACUCAAUGUGGGUGUCCUUUCCUGCCGAAAGUUUCCUCGGGUGCAGGGCCAGCCGCCUUGGGUUCAGUUUCUCCUUUGGAAGGAUCUCUCUGGGACAGGGCCUGAACAGGACGGGGCAACACUUGCUGCAUUGCAGAGAAGGAAGCUUAAAAGCCCGAAAAUGCUCCAUCUCCCUGAUGGUGUGGGAGACGCGUGUGAGCGAGACACCCUCAGCUCCAAGGGUGGCACGCUGCUCUGUGGAUCAGGCUGUGGAAGCAAUGCCUGUCAAAUCCACACGUGUAUAUUCUCUCUAUGCCCAGGCCCAUCUGGGGGAGGGCAGCCCAGAGACAUGCGUGCACCUGUGUGGGCUGACCUAUGCGCAGUGUCACCAAUGUCUGUGACAUUGUUGUAACGACAACAAAGCUGGAGGCCACCCAGACGCCCAUGGAAGGAAGAACGGCGCAGAAAGACCCAGUCCUGGCAGCUCAGCAUGCAGCCCAGAAACAGAAGAACAAAGCUGCAGAUACACAGCUGGGAAAGGCCACCGAGAUGCUUUGAUAAUUGAGAAGAGGAAAGCCCAGGAGCCGGCAUGGAUUUUUCAUUCCUUUUGUAUUAAAAAUGCGGUGUUGGGGAGGUAACGCUGUAUAUUUCUGUUUGCAAGCAAUCUUUGGAGGGUGUUGCAUAACAGAAGAUGUAUCAGGUCUUUGUCCUGGGUCCUUGGAGGAAGCUUCUAAACCCUGGGGGUUUCUCCAAAGUGUGGAGUGUCGGCAUUAUUCCUGGCGGGCCCCUGGGACCACACCUGAGUUUAUGCUAAUGAGGUGACUCAGGAUGGGCUCCUACUGAAUUUUAGGAUGGGGACUGUCUGCUGAAAGACCCAUUAUUAGAGGGUUGGGGCUUUGAGCCACGGGAUGUCAGCGCAACCUCCCAGCAGUCAGAGAAGUGGGCUUCAAUCACGUAACCAAUCACUCCACCGAUCAUGUUACACGGUGAAACCCCAAUAAAACUCUGGACACCAAAA
Molecule: non-coding RNA, 2277 nt
Filed under: Pongo abelii (Sumatran orangutan)
Lineage: Eukaryota; Metazoa; Chordata; Mammalia; Primates; Hominidae
Source: RNAcentral